AAGGGAGACCUAAUUCAGGUAUGGGACGAAAAAAAAGUAGUCGCUACCAAGAAUCAAUCCCAAAAGGUCGGAGCGAGGUAUGAGGCUUUCAAACUAGGUUCUGGGUUCGAACAAGACCUGAAUCAGGAACAAGGGCUAUUAGCUCAGGUGGUUAGAGCGCACCCCUGAUAAGGGUGAGGUCCCUGGUUCGAGUCCAGGAUGGCCCACCUGCACAGGUGGCAAAAACAAGAGAAGCGAGGAAUCAGCACCUUAUCUUAUCUAUAUAUAAGAGAGAAUGCUGGCUCUGAGUAAAGAGUCCAGAGGAACCUUGAAAACUGCAUAGAGCUAGGUGAAAAAGCCAAAAAAGAAGACCGCAA
RNAcentral lists this transfer RNA (356 nucleotides) under uncultured Microcystis sp. RNAcentral's name for it is "partial 16S-23S ribosomal RNA intergenic spacer". The stretch from base 133 to 206 matches the Rfam family "tRNA". Lineage: Bacteria; Bacillati; Cyanobacteriota; Cyanophyceae; Chroococcales; Microcystaceae. The record is from RNAcentral.